AGGGGCAGCGGGAUUGAAGCUUGCUUCAAUUGCCGGCGACCGGCGCACGGGUGAGUAACGCGUAUCCAACCUUCUGUACACUCAGGGAUAGCCUUUCGAAAGAAAGAUUAAUACCUGAUAGUAUGGUGAGAUUUCAUGAUAGCACCAUUAAAGAUUUAUUGGUAAACGAUGGGGAUGCGUUCCAUUAGGUAGUAGGCGGGGUAACGGCCCACCUAGCCGACGAUGGAUAGGGGUUCUGAGAGGAAGGUCCCCACAUUGGAACUGAGACACGGCCCAGACUCC
RNAcentral lists this ribosomal RNA (282 nucleotides) under uncultured Bacteroides sp. RNAcentral's name for it is "partial 16S ribosomal RNA". It matches the Rfam family "Bacterial small subunit ribosomal RNA", at positions 65 to 339 of the family's 1533-position model. Lineage: Bacteria; Pseudomonadati; Bacteroidota; Bacteroidia; Bacteroidales; Bacteroidaceae. The record is from RNAcentral.